Molecule: ribosomal RNA, 468 nt
Filed under: uncultured bacterium
Lineage: Bacteria
Description: partial 16S ribosomal RNA
Rfam family: Bacterial small subunit ribosomal RNA
Source: RNAcentral
GACGAACGCUGGCGGCGUGCUUAACACAUGCAAGUCGAACGGAAAGGCCCUGCUUUUGUGGGGUGCUCGAGUGGCGAACGGGUGAGUAACACGUGAGUAACCUGCCCUUGACUUUGGGAUAACCUCAGGAAACUGGGGCUAAUACCGGAUAGGAGCUCCUGCUGCAUGGUGGGGGUUGGAAAGUUUCGGCGGUUGGGGAUGGACUCGCGGCUUAUCAGCUUGUUGGUGGGGUAGUGGCUUACCAAGGCGUUGACGGGUAGCCGGCCUGAGAGGGUGAACGGCCACAUUGGGACUGAGAUACGGCCCAGACUCCUACGGGAGGCAGCAGUGGGGAAUAUUGCACAAUGGGCGGAAGCCUGAUGCAGCAACGCCGCGUGCGGGAUGACGGCCUUCGGGUUGUAAACCGCUUUCGCCUGUGACGAAGCGUGAGUGACGGUAAUGGGUAAAGAAGCACCGGCUAACUACGUG